CAGUAGCCACGGUAAUACGGAGGGUGCAAGCGUUAAUCGGAAUUACUGGGCGUAAAGCGCACGCAGGCGGUCUGUCAAGUCGGAUGUGAAAUCCCCGGGCUCAACCUGGGAACUGCAUUCGAAACUGGCAGGCUAGAGUCUUGUAGAGGGGGGUAGAAUUCCAGGUGUAGCGGUGAAAUGCGUAGAGAUCUGGAGGAAUACCGAUGGCGAAGGCAGCCAUCUGGCCUAAUACUGACGCUGAGGUACGAAAGCAUGGGGAGCAAACAGGAUUAGAUACCCCUGUAGUCCCUGUCUCUUAUAC
RNAcentral lists this ribosomal RNA (301 nucleotides) under uncultured bacterium. RNAcentral describes it as "partial 16S ribosomal RNA". It matches the Rfam family "Bacterial small subunit ribosomal RNA", at positions 509 to 807 of the family's 1533-position model. The record is from RNAcentral.